Molecule: ribosomal RNA, 459 nt
Filed under: uncultured bacterium
Lineage: Bacteria
Description: partial 16S ribosomal RNA
Rfam family: Bacterial small subunit ribosomal RNA
Source: RNAcentral
CUACGGGGGGCAGCAGUGAGGAAUAUUGGUCAAUGGUCGAGAGACUGAACCAGCCAUGCCGCGUGCAGGAUGAAUGUUCUAUGAAUUGUAAACUGCUUUUAUACAGGAAGAAACCUACUUACGUGUAAGUAGCUGCCGGUACUGUAUGAAUAAGCAUCGGCUAACUCCGUGCCAGCAGCCGCGGUAAUACGGAGGAUGCAAGCGUUAUCCGGAUUCAUUGGGUUUAAAGGGUGCGUAGGCGGAUUAUUAAGUCAGUGGUGAAAUCCUGCGGCUCAACCGUAGAACUGCCAUUGAUACUGGUAAUCUUGAAUGUAGUUGAGGUAGGCGGAAUGUGUAAUGUAGCGGUGAAAUGCUUAGAUAUUACACAGAACACCGAUUGCGAAGGCAGCUUGCUAAACUAUGAUUGACGCUGAUGCACGAAAGCGUGGGGAGCGAACAGGAUUAGAUACCCGAGUAGUC